Molecule: RNA transcript, 2360 nt
Organism: Esox lucius (northern pike)
Lineage: Eukaryota; Metazoa; Chordata; Actinopteri; Esociformes; Esocidae
Exons: 9
Source: RefSeq, a predicted model, not a curated record
UAGUGGGAGACAAAAAGACUUAAGACUGACUUAACACUAACACACAAACAGACAUUAAGAAGAGCAACCUACUCCACAAUUGAAAUGAUAUGUAUAUAGUUGCAGAAUUCACAGAGUCCAAGACUGUAAAUAUUAUAUCAGACUCGUGGUUUGAAGAUGGUGUGACUUUGUGGCCAAACUAUAAAAGCGAUGAACGCAUCAACAGAGCUGUUCGAAAACAUGAGGUGCCAGGAUCAGACUGGAAAAUGUAUGACGUUCGAGUCCUCUCAAGAGCUGGUGAUUAUCAAAAAGCCAGAGAAAAGCUGAGGGCUUCGCUGACCUGUAAUACAUCGGAGUUACAUACAGAUGGCGAACAAGAAGUAGUAGUAGCUAGGAAAAGAAAAAUUAAGCCAAGGCUCAUCUUUGGUGAUACCGACUCUGAAAGUGAGCCAGAGGAGAGGAACAAUACAAGACCCACUUAUCUCUCCCUCACUCCAGCACCACCUAUUGCUCCACCGACUCCUAACUUCUCAGCAAGACCUCUGCCAGAUCCGAAUCAUGCUGAACUUCUUCAUUCCACUGCGGCUGCACCACUUGUUCCCGUCCCUCCACCUUGCAUGCCUUCAAGUCCUCCAUGCCAGAUUUCUGCUGGACCUCUGCCUGAUCUGAGGCAAUGUGAUCGUGGUAGUUACACAGCUCCAGUGGCACUUGUUCCUACCCCUACGUCUCGCAUGCCCUCAAGUCCUAGGCGCCGGAUCACUGCCACUCUCACAAAUGACUAUCAAGGCCAUUGUUUUGUCCCCACUUUUAGACUGGGGAGGACUGGCACUGGACCUGUUCCUUGCUCUGCGGCUGAGCUGCACAUUCUUACUUUGCUGGAACAUAUCAAGGAGCAGCAAAUGCAGCUGGCUGCUGCUGUAAAUAACAUUGCUGCAAGAAUGGGGACGGAAACUCCUAUGGCUGAGAUGCCUCAAAAUGUCAGUGUUCCGCUGGCCACCAUGUCUGAAGUGGAGGAGUUUGAGGAGUGGCUUAAAGAUGCAAGAAACUCGCAUGCUAAGCAAAACAUGAUUUCGGCUCUAGGUGCUGUAGGAGGACAGAACUCCAAAAGAGUAACUUGGAAUAUACUUUCAAGGAUUUUCUCAAACACAGUGGCCAAACAGAUUAAUUGGAAAGGAGUAAACGCAAAGGCAUGCAGGCUAGGUUAAUUGGUGUCCCUAAAUUGUCCUUAGAUGUGAGUGUGUGUGGUUGUUCGUCUAUGUGUGGCCCUGCGAUGGACUGGCAACCUGUCCAGGGUGUACCCCGCCUUUCACCCAACGUAAACUGGGAUUGGCUCCAGCCCCCUGCGACCCUGUACGCAAGAUAAGUGGUUGACGAUGGAUGGAUGGAUUUUUAGAUAUAAGGGAUGCAACUUUAAAGCUUUAAUAGAUUGCAGUCAUGACAGCACCGGUUACUCACAUAAUCACGUAAUGCUUUACUUGGAGUUGAAUUGAGAGCUUUUAGUUUGAAAAUUUCUGAACGACAUUAAAAAAGCCUGCUUGACACACCUCUGAAAGAGCUGUCAGAAAACGUGAUUCCCCUAAAUGUCCUCUGCCUGGAGAUACUGGGGAAAUGUUGAGGGGUUCCUCUCCUUCGGCCAUCCUACACAGGCCACUGACUACUGCACCAAACAGAGGGGGAGGGCCGUGUUACUCUCUACGCUGCGGGAUUCCUGUACUUUACAUCUUUGGCAGAUUAAUAACAUAGCAACAGUAAAAAUUGUGGUUUUGUAACCUUUACUUUUUCAUACCGUGGGAAACCUUGAAACCGGUACCCGCCAAUGCCUAUCCAUGACCUGAUACAGAAUCCACACAGAUAAAUUUAGAAUGAUAAGAUGCACUGAGAUUUAAGGAUGAUCCAAUACAAUCUAGAUGUGAUUAGUUAUUCAUUUGUUUUGAGUUACUAAAUGAAAGGCUACAGAAAAUUAGGUCUACUGCCACACCAACAAUAGUAAUCAUGGGCAACAUCUAAAGCAUUUCUCAAAACAGUGGGUUAUUGGCUUGACUUAGAGGUAAUUUUCAGAAUUUCUGUUAAUGACGGCUCAUCAACCAAUUGACUUUCUCUCUUAACAGAGGCUGUACGGAAGAACCAAGCUGCUAGCAGUGCAUCGGACAACAAGAUUAACCAGCACGCCAUCCGCUGGUUCAACCUGGCCUCUGACCGUGGAGGUGGCCGCAAAGAACGUGCCAUGGCCAGAGAGGCCAUUCAUUAACCGUGAAAUGAACGCAUCGGCCAUCCCCCACUCUUCCACCACUGAUGAUUUUUUUGGUGUUAUGUGAGUUUCUUAUUCCUACAGUUGUUAAAGACAAAUGAGUUGUAAAAUGUGUUUCUGUCCUGUCUUUUUA